This is a long non-coding RNA of Thamnophis elegans (Western terrestrial garter snake), 1984 nucleotides long. RefSeq lists it as uncharacterized. The transcript has 3 exons. NCBI's taxonomy places the organism in Eukaryota, Metazoa, Chordata, Lepidosauria, Squamata, Natricidae. The record is from RefSeq and is a predicted model, not a curated record.
UUUAUUUAAUUCUUAAUGCCUUUUGUUCUUUUGCAUUUCUUGUUUUAGGGUUUUGGGUGGGGGUGGUUGGACUAUGGAAGCUAACAGGAAAGAAUAUUAGGAGCCUUUAACUUUAAUGUGGUUGCUCAGUUUUAUUUCAUUGUUUUGUUUCUUGUUUACGGCUAUAUUUAAUUACUAGGUUAGCUUAAUUAUGACUAGUGUUCACUAAACAGAAUACUUUAAACCCGACAUGUGAAAAAUCGUGCUUCAUUUUCUUUUUUGCAGAUGAAACUUGCAGACAAUUUGGAUAUUCCUGCUGCGGUUGAAGUGAAGCCCCAAAGCCUGGGGAGCCCUGGGGCACUGAAGCCCCCCCCCCCCAAAAAAAAUAUGUUGGUGGAACUAAUAGGAGAAAGGAUAGAAUCCCUCAGGGCUAGAAGGGACCUUGAAGGUCUUCCCCCAAUCUUUUUUUUUGUUGAAAAUCUGGAGCCUACAUUAAGAAUUAUCUUCAUUAUCAUUGUUAAGAAGACAAUGUACCAGUCAGUUAUAUUUGAUUCUUUUCCUCUUCUUCAAUCCCCAGGAAAAGGUGUCUGCAAGUGUCACCAGAGAAACAAAAUGAAGAUGUGGAGGCUGAUAUCAUCACGGUGGAACCGUACAUACCGGAACCCAUCUACCCCAACAUCACCUUAAUUGAUGAGCGAAGGAUGUCCGAUGUUCUGCUUUGCAUGACAAUAUGAUGGUUGGACAAAUUGUGACCAUGGGUGAAAUUCCUGCCAUCACAUUGUUGACCCAGGGCUGAAAGUCUGACAUUGUCUUCCAUCAAUUAUGGUGAUGUUGGGAUCGAUGGAUUCCGGUAUGGAGGUUCCACAGUGAUGGAGGCCUCCUCCUCAUCUUCAGCUGGUGGUUCUGGUGACGCUUGCAACACCUUCAUGGCAGAGGCCAAACAACACAUAGAUUCCAAAGAUGACCAAAGUCAUUUUCCAGGGUCUCCAAGGAAGUUCUGAGGGCUCUCACUGGAUGGCCACAUGAGUUCAGUCUCUUCCAUUUUGGAACAGAAAUGAACGGAUUAAAAAAUGAUCUUGAAGGGCAUUCCAAAUCCAGAUGUAGAUUUACAUUACAAAAUAAAUUCAAAAGAAUCAAAUCAACUUUACAAAAGCAUUUCCUCUUCAGUUCUUUCCUCUUUGCACCUUCUGACAAGUUAUGGGGACCCCUGGAUGGCAACUUUGUUUGUCCUUGGGGGUCUGUGUCUUCAUUGACCUCUGCAUAUUUGUUCACCUGUGCAAGUAAGUUGCUCCUGAUCAGGGGAGUGGCAUCACCACAACCUGGGGAGCCCUGGGGCACUGAAAGCCCCCCAAAAUGUUGGUGGAACUAACAGGAGAAAGUAUAGACUCCCUCAGAGCUGGAAAGGACCUUGAAGGUCUUCUACUCCCACUCCAAAUCUUUUCUUGAAAAUCUGGAGCCCCCAUUAAGAAUUAUCUUUAUUAUCAUUGUUAAGAAAACAGUGUACCAGUCAGUUAUAUUUGAUUCUUUUCCUCUUCUUCAAUCCACAGAAAAAGGUGUCUGCAGUGUCACCAGAGAAACAAAACGAAGAUGUGACGGUUGAUAUCAUCACUGUGGAACCGUACAUACCGGAACCCAUCUACCCCAACAUCCCCAUCAUUGAUGAGUGAAGGAUGUCAGACGUUCUACGUUGCACGACAAUGUGAUGGAUGGAUGAAUAGCUGCAGUGGGUGAAAUCCCAAAACAACUGGAGCCCAAUUUGGACCCCAUCGGCAUUGACAAUCUCACCAUCAGUCAGUUGCCAAAGGCCGCCUUCCUUGGAAGAGCUGACAUCCAGUCUGAACAUCUAGCUGACUGUGUGAAGAACCACAAUCCCCCCUCCCCCAUGAGGCAGGACCUUGACAUGGUUGUGGGGCUUGUGUGCUCUGAGGAAGAUUAGGGCUACACCUCAGGUUCAAUCAUACUGAACAGGACUCAUGAGAGGAAUCGGACAAAGAGUGUCUCUCCC